CUGAGUGCGGGCCCCUUGCGGGUCCAACCUCCCACCCGUGUCUCUUGAAUACCCUGUUGCUUUGGCGGGCCCACCGGGAAACCGGUCGCCGGGGGGCAUUGUGCCCCCGGGUCCGCGCCCGCCAGAGCGCCUGUGAACCCUAAUGAAGAAGGACUGUCUGAGUCUGAGAUAUAAUUAUCA
RNAcentral lists this unclassified non-coding RNA (180 nucleotides) under soil metagenome. RNAcentral describes it as "partial internal transcribed spacer 1". The record is from RNAcentral.